RNAcentral lists this ribosomal RNA (1498 nucleotides) under Helicobacter cinaedi. RNAcentral describes it as "bacterial SSU rRNA". It matches the Rfam family "Bacterial small subunit ribosomal RNA". Lineage: Bacteria; Pseudomonadati; Campylobacterota; Epsilonproteobacteria; Campylobacterales; Helicobacteraceae. The record is from RNAcentral.
UUUAUGGAGAGUUUGAUCCUGGCUCAGAGUGAACGCUGGCGGCGUGCCUAAUACAUGCAAGUCGAACGAUGAAGCCUUUAGCUUGCUAGAGGUGGAUUAGUGGCGCACGGGUGAGUAACGCAUAGGUAAUAUGCCCCAUAGUCUAGGAUAGCCACUGGAAACGGUGAUUAAUACUGGAUACUCCCUACGGGGGAAAGUUUUUCGCUAUGGGAUUAGCCUAUGUCCUAUCAGCUUGUUGGUGAGGUAAUGGCUCACCAAGGCUAUGACGGGUAUCCGGCCUGAGAGGGUGAACGGACACACUGGAACUGAGACACGGUCCAGACUCCUACGGGAGGCAGCAGUAGGGAAUAUUGCUCAAUGGGGGAAACCCUGAAGCAGCAACGCCGCGUGGAGGAUGAAGGUUUUAGGAUUGUAAACUCCUUUUGUUAGAGAAGAUUAUGACGGUAUCUAACGAAUAAGCACCGGCUAACUCCGUGCCAGCAGCCGCGGUAAUACGGAGGGUGCAAGCGUUACUCGGAAUCACUGGGCGUAAAGAGUGCGUAGGCGGGUAGUCAAGUCAGAUGUGAAAUCCUGUAGCUUAACUACAGAACUGCAUUUGAAACUGACUAUCUAGAGUAUGGGAGAGGUAGGUGGAAUUCUUGGUGUAGGGGUAAAAUCCGUAGAGAUCAAGAGGAAUACUCAUUGCGAAGGCGACCUGCUGGAACAUUACUGACGCUGAUGCGCGAAAGCGUGGGGAGCAAACAGGAUUAGAUACCCUGGUAGUCCACGCCCUAAACGAUGAAUGCUAGUUGUUGCCCUGCUUGUCAGGGCAGUAAUGCAGCUAACGCAUUAAGCAUUCCGCCUGGGGAGUACGGUCGCAAGAUUAAAACUCAAAGGAAUAGACGGGGACCCGCACAAGCGGUGGAGCAUGUGGUUUAAUUCGAUGCUACGCGAAGAACCUUACCUAGGCUUGACAUUGAUAGAAUCUGCUAGAGAUAGCGGAGUGCUGGUUUGCCAGAGCUUGAAAACAGGUGCUGCACGGCUGUCGUCAGCUCGUGUCGUGAGAUGUUGGGUUAAGUCCCGCAACGAGCGCAACCCUCGUCCUUAGUUGCUAGCAGUUCGGCUGAGCACUCUAAGGAGACUGCCUUCGCAAGGAGGAGGAAGGUGAGGACGACGUUAAGUCAUCAUGGCCCUUACGCCUAGGGCUACACACGUGCUACAAUGGGACAUACAAAAAGAUGCAAUAUCGCGAGAUGGAGCAAAUCUCUAAAAUGUCUCUCAGUUCGGAUUGUAGUCUGCAACUCGACUACAUAAAGCUGGAAUCGCUAGUAAUCGCAAAUCAGCAAUGUUGCGGUGAAUACGUUCCCGGGUCUUGUACUCACCGCCCGUCACACCAUGGGAGUUGUAUUCGCCUUAAGUCGGGAUACUAAAUUGGUUACCGCCCACGGCGGAUGCAGCGACUGGGGUGAAGUCGUAACAAGGUAACCGUAGGUGAACCUGCGGUUGGAUCACCUCCUUU